Molecule: RNA transcript, 2166 nt
Organism: Wyeomyia smithii (pitcher-plant mosquito)
Lineage: Eukaryota; Metazoa; Arthropoda; Insecta; Diptera; Culicidae
Gene name: transcription factor grauzone-like
Exons: 4
Source: RefSeq, a predicted model, not a curated record
GAUUUUCUUAAAUUGUGUGCAGAUUUUUACAGACUUUAGCCUGCGCGAGCUAAAUUUUUUCGGAUCACGGAUAGAAUUUUUUCAGAUUUCGAGCAAUUUUUUCCGGUUUUUCGAGCAGUUUCAGACAUUUUUCAAAAACAUCUGGCAUCUCUGCAUCGAUCACAUUAGGUUAGUACGCAGUCUCUGGUACGCAGCUAAGAUUCUGACGUUUGUAGAACUCCACCUUUCUCUCCAGCAGGCUUGCGAAGCGAGCUCUCAAGUGUAUAACACACAUACUCAAGUUCGUUACGCGAGAUAAUAAAGCGUCAAAAAAGACUAAUUAUUACGUAUGCUACCUUCGGGAAUUACGUAGUUCUUGUUUACCAAAAAAGUACAAACCCAAAACUGUUCCAGUUAGACUUCUAUGGAAUCCUUACAGAACGGUUGUAGGCUAUGCCUGGACCCAAUCGGUGACAGUAUGCAUUCUAUUGAAAAUCUUGAAAUUAAAAAACAUAUCGAUUAUGUGUUUAAAUUCCCAAUUAAUAUCAUAAUAGGAUAUUCUACCAGUAUCUGCAAGAACUGUUCUCAGCAAAUCUCCGAUUUUUAUGACUAUUCAGAAAAAGUUCGUCUUAAUCAGGAGAAACUUACUGAACGGAUAGCUGAUUCAAAACCUCUUUUAGAAACAUUUAAAGUAGAGCUGAUUGACAAAGAUGAUCCAUGCGGGGAAGAUUUUGAUAGGAUAGAACCUAAGGACGAACCUACAGAAGAAGAUAGUGAUAUUAGUGAUGGAGAAAUUUUCGCAGAAUCAUACAAACCACCAGUGGUACGACCAAGAAAGAAGCGUAAAAAAGAAGAACGGCCGAGACGAAAACGAGGUGAAAAACCGGCGGUGAUUGAGGAGGAUUUUAGAAAACGAGAUAACAUAAAGUCCAAGGAGCAACUAGAACAAGAAGAUAAAUUGAUAAAUGAGUUUUAUCCCAUGGUUUGCGAAUUAUGCGGAGAAACAGCUCAAAAUUUCGUGUCUUUGGCUGCUCAUUUCAGGAAAAUACAUGGACGAACGGGCUAUAUAAGAUGCUGCAAGCGAAAACUUCCUAAACGAUAUCAUCUGUUACAACAUAUAACGUUGCAUCGCAAUCCAAACGCUUUUCGGUGUGAGUUGUGUAAUAAAAACUAUAAGCACAAAAUGUAUCUUCUCUUACAUCAAGCGAAAGCUCAUGGUAACGAAGAAGAUCGCCCGUUCAAGUGUGACCGAUGCAAACAGUCGUACGCCAAAGAAUACAUGCUCCGGAACCACAUGAUUAGCCACGAAAAAGUUCAGUGUCCACAGUGUGAUAAGUUGCUAGCCAAUAAGGCUGCAUUGAGUACUCACCUGGUUAACAAGCAUAGCGAUUUAGAUCGAAGAAUGAUCUGUGAUACUUGUGGUCAAGAAUUUUUGAAUAAGGCUUGCUUCGAGCGACACGUCAAACGGCACAUGGGCGUUGAAGAAGUCGAACGGAAGUACCAAUGUCACAUCUGCCAGAAAUGGUUAAUGGGUGAGCGAGGUUUGCAAAAACAUUUACAGUUUACACAUUACGAGCGGGAUCAGACGCAUAUCUGUGACAUUUGCAAUCAGCAAUAUCCAAACUCAAGAGCUCUGUGGAGUCACAAACGGACUGUCCACAUCGAAGAGAAAUUUGAAUGCGAGUUUUGUGGGAAAAAAUUCAAACGGGCUAUUAAUUUGAAGGAGCAUCGAACUACACACACAGGAGAGGUGCUAUAUUCGUGUGACAUUUGCGGUGCAGCAAUGAAUUCCAAUGCCAACCUUUACACGCACACGAAAAAAAGUCACCCAGCAGAAUGGGCUGAAAAGAGGAAAAAAGCGGCCGAAGCAAACCAACCCAAGAAACAAUAGUAAUAUCACAGACAAACAGACGUACCACUCCGUACAAAACUGUAAGAAAAUUAUACUCCGCAAGAGAUAAAUUUUCAGCCUUUCUGGUGUUUGGCAGCACGGCGCGCGACAACUGUCCCAACUGUCAACUUAAGUUCAAAGGGAAAAAGUACAUUAGCGCCACCACCGCUGCGACGGGAAUAUUUCGCAAAACUGAAACUCCACGAAAAUAAUUUUGUGGUACGUCUGUUUGUCUGUGUUUAUACUUUAUGAAGUAACGAAAUUAUAAGUUUUUCAACCGAUUUUUUAAAAGUUAA